UGUGGUUAGCGGUGAAAUGCCAAUCGAACUCGGAGAUAGCUGGUUCUCCUCGAAAUAGCUUUAGGGCUAGCGUUGUGUUAGUAAUCAUCAGGGGUAGAGCUCUGAAAAGGUUCGGGGCCGGCAACGGUACCCACCCUUAUCAAACUACGAAUACUGGUGGUGUAACCACAGCAGUCAGAACGGCGGGGCUAAGCUCGUCGCUCAAAAGGGAAACAGCCCAGAUCAUCGUCUAAGGUCCCCAAUUAACACUAAGUGGGAAACAAAGUGAAGUUUCUUAAACAGCUAGGAUGUUGGCUUAGAAGCAGCCAUUCAUUUAAAGAGUGCGUAACAGCUCACUAGUCAAGAGAUUUUGCGUGGAAAAUGUAACGGGGCUAAAGUGUUAAACCGAAGACAUGGACUUCUGCUUAUGCAGGAGUGGUAGAGGAGCGUUGAUAUCGCAGUGAAGUCAGAUUGUAAAGUCUGGUGGAGCGUUAUCAAGUGAGAAUGCUGGAAUCAGUAACCUUAAGACAGGUGAGAAUCCUGUCGGUCGUAAGAGCAAGGUUUCCAGGGCUACAGUAAUUGUCCCUGGGUUAGUCGGUCCUAAGCCGAGGCGUAUCUGCGUAGGCGAUGGACAACAGGUUAAUAUUCCUGUACAGGUAGUAGUUGUUAACAGUUCACGGUGAGUGACCGGAGCGGAUCAAUGGUUUAUCCGUCCAAGACUUCAAGGAAUUGAAGUCGAGUGAAAGAUAUUCUUCGGAAUAUUGAUUCUGGGUACAACGCUGGCUAGAAAAGCUGGUUAACUUAUGCUGCUGCCUACCGUACCGCAAACCAACACCGGUGCUCGGGUCGAGUAGACCAAGACCUACGUGAGAACCUUCGCUAAGGAACUCGGCAAAAAAGCGUCCGUAACUUCGGAAUAAGGACUGCCCUCUCAUUAAGAUGAGGAUUUGCUAGAAACUUGGUGGAAACAUAAGGUUAAUAAUAUUUACCUAAUAAUUUAACCAAAUUUUUCGUCAAGACAGAACACAUCAGGAAAUAUCCUGUGAUAUCUUUUCUAGUAACUCAAUCGUCAUUUUGAUGAGAGGGUCGCAGCUAAAGAGCCCACGGAACUGUUUAACAAAAACAUAGGUCUCUGCUAACGCGAAAGCGGAUGUAUAGGGGCUGACUCCUGCCCGGUGUCGGAAGGUUAAGGGGAGAGCUUUACGGUUCGAACUGAAGCCCCGAUGAACGGCGGCGAUAACUAUGAUCGUCCUAAGGUAGCGAAAUUCCUUGUCUGGUAAGUUCAGACCCGCACGAAUGGAGUAAUCAUGUGGGCACUGUCUCGGCGAAGGCCACGGUGAACGUGCAUUGGCGGUAAAGAUGCCGUCUGAUCAUGCCAGGACGAGAAGACCCCAUGGAGCUUUACUACAACUUUGCAUUGAUUAUUGGGACAUUUUGUGUAGAAUAGGUGGAAGACUUUGAAGCAGAUACGCUAGUAUUUGUGGAGUCGAAAUGUGAAAUACCACCCUGAGUGUUUUAGUAAUCUCACUUUUGACCUUAUCGGCCAAGAGGACCGUGCAUGGCGGGUAGUUUAACUGGGGCGGUUGCCUCCUAAAGAGUAGCGGAGGCGUUCAAAGGUUGGCUAGCUACGGAUGGAAAUCGUAGCGAUAGUGUAUGCGCAAAAGCCAGCUUGACUGUGAGGGCCACAACCCAAUCAGACACGAAAGUGGGAGCAAAUGACCCGCUGUACAGAACUUCGGUUCAAUUUACGUGGGAAAGACAGCGCACACGGAUAAAAGUUACCCUGGGGAUAACAGGCUGAUCGCGCCCAAUAGUUCACAUAGACGGCGCGGUUUGGCACCUCGAUGUCGGCUCAUCACAUCCUGGAGGGGGAGCACCUUCCAAGGGUCCGGCUGUUCGCCGGUUAAAGUGGUACGCGAGCUGGGUUCAGAACGUCGUGAGACAGUUCGGUUUAUAUCCGGCAUGAUCGUUAGGAAUUUUGAGGAGAUCUACCCUUAGUACGAGAGGACCGGGGCGGACGAAUCUCUAGUGUAUCGGUUGUGACCACCUGUUGCAU
This 2035-nucleotide ribosomal RNA is filed under the name human oral metagenome. RNAcentral describes it as "bacterial LSU rRNA". It matches the Rfam family "Bacterial large subunit ribosomal RNA", at positions 810 to 2738 of the family's 2925-position model. The record is from RNAcentral.